Long non-coding RNA from Clupea harengus (Atlantic herring), 442 nucleotides. The record is from Ensembl. NCBI's taxonomy places the organism in Eukaryota, Metazoa, Chordata, Actinopteri, Clupeiformes, Clupeidae.
UAUUCGCCAUGCGCAUGUAUACAUUUAAUGCAGAACCUCAAGUAAACCAAGUGAUGUUUCACGUGUGAAGUUAACCUCCGUGUGAGCCUGAUUAUUUAUUAAUAAGUAGUCGCAUAGACACGACAAGCAACACUGUAAAUGGCACCAUAUGGAUCUGACCUUUCAAACGGUCAAAGUCCCCAGGGGUGACGAUCAGGAGGACACACAGAGGAAGAUCCUGGAGCAAGCGCUUCAGAAUAGGUUCCAGGCUUGUUACCAAGACAACCUGUUGAGAGUGAGAGAGAGCACCGCAGCACGGAAACUGACUGUGGGUGAGUGAGAACAGAGCAUUCAAGGGGGCGACAGCAUGAUACUGUUGUCAUUCCUGUGCAUGGAAAUGUUGCGUUAAUGUUGUGUUACUGUUGUGUUAAUGUUGUGUUACUGUUGUGUUAAUGUUGUGUUA